This 253-nucleotide ribosomal RNA is filed under the name uncultured bacterium. Its description in RNAcentral is "partial 16S ribosomal RNA". It matches the Rfam family "Bacterial small subunit ribosomal RNA", at positions 524 to 776 of the family's 1533-position model. The record is from RNAcentral.
UACGGGGGGGGCAAGCGUUGUUCGGACUUCCUGGGCGUAAAGGGCUCGUAGGUGGCCACCUAAGUCAGACGUGAAAUCCCUCGGCUUAACCGGGGAACUGCGUCUGAUACUGGAUGGCUAGAGAUUGGGAGAGGGAUGCGGAAUUCCAGGUGUAGCGGUGAAAUGCGUAGAUAUCUGGAGGAACACCGGUGGCGAAGGCGGCAUCCUGGACCAACACUGACGCUGAGGAGCGAAAGCCAGGGGAGCAAACGGG